This 417-nucleotide ribosomal RNA is filed under the name Lysinibacillus sp. Its description in RNAcentral is "bacterial SSU rRNA". It matches the Rfam family "Bacterial small subunit ribosomal RNA", at positions 80 to 482 of the family's 1533-position model. Lineage: Bacteria; Bacillati; Bacillota; Bacilli; Caryophanales; Bacillaceae. The record is from RNAcentral.
GCUCCUUUGACGUUAGCGGCGGACGGGUGAGUAACACGUGGGCAACCUACCCUAUAGUUUGGGAUAACUCCGGGAAACCGGGGCUAAUACCGAAUAAUCUCUUUUGCUUCAUGGCAAGAGACUGAAAGACGGCAUCUCGCUGUCGCUAUAGGAUGGGCCCGCGGCGCAUUACCUAGUUGGGGAGGUAACGGCUCACCAAGGCGACAAUGCGUACCCGACCUGAAAGGGGGAUCGGCCACACUGGGACUGAAACACGGCCCAAACUCCUACGGGAGGCAGCAGUAGGGAAUCUUCCACAAUGGGCGAAAGCCUGAUGGAGCACCGCCGCGUGAGUGAAGAAGGUUUUCGGAUCGUAAAACUCUGUUGUAAGGAAAAAACAAGUACAGUAGUAACUGGCUGUACCUUGACGGUACCUUA